This 274-nucleotide ribosomal RNA is filed under the name uncultured bacterium. RNAcentral describes it as "partial 16S ribosomal RNA". It matches the Rfam family "Bacterial small subunit ribosomal RNA", at positions 523 to 796 of the family's 1533-position model. The record is from RNAcentral.
CUACGGAGGGUCCGAGCGUUAAUCGGAAUUACUGGGCGUAAAGCGCGCGUAGGCGGAUAUUUAAGUCAGAUGUGAAAUCCCUGGGCUCAACCUAGGAACUGCAUUUGAAACUGGAUAUCUAGAGUAUGAUAGAGGUGAGUGGAAUUUCAGGUGUGGCGGUGAAAUGCGUAGAGAUCUGAAGGAACAUCAGUGGCGAAGGCGACUCACUGGGCCAUUACUGACGCUGAGGUGCGAAAGCGUGGGUAGCAAACAGGAUUAGAAACCCUAGUAGUCC